AACCUAAAAUAAUUAUAUUUAUAUCUAUGAUACCACAAAUCAUAAUUUUUAUUUAAACUAUUUAAGU
This 67-nucleotide transfer RNA is filed under the name Theopropus elegans. Its description in RNAcentral is "tRNA-His". Lineage: Eukaryota; Metazoa; Arthropoda; Insecta; Mantodea; Hymenopodidae. The record is from RNAcentral.